Molecule: ribosomal RNA, 404 nt
Filed under: uncultured bacterium
Lineage: Bacteria
Description: partial 16S ribosomal RNA
Rfam family: Bacterial small subunit ribosomal RNA
Source: RNAcentral
GAUGAACGCUGACAGAAUGCUUAACACAUGCAAGUCAACUGUGGCGGACGGGUGAGUAACGCGUAAAGAACUUGCCUCACAGCUAGGGACAACAUUUGGAAACGAAUGCUAAUACCUGAUACUGUGAGAGAGCUUUGCGUCCCAUUAGCUAGUUGGAGAGGUAACGGCUCACCAAGGCGAUGAUGGGUAGCCGGCCUGAGAGGGUGAUCGGCUACAAGGGGACGGAGACACGGCCCUGACUCCUACGGGAGGAAGCAGGGGGGAAUAUUGGAAAAUGGACGAAAGUCUGAUCCAGCAAUUCUGUGUGAACGAUGUAGUUUUCGGAAUGUAAAGUGCUUUCAGUUGGGAAGCGGUACCAACAGAAGAAGUGACGGCUAAAUACGUGCCAGCAGCCGCGGUAAUAC